CGUGCAGGCGGCUUCUUAAGUCUGAUGUGAAAGCCCGGGGCUCACCCCCGGAAGGGCAUUGGAAACUGGGAAGCUAGAGUACCGGAGAGGAAGGUGGAAUUCCUGGUGUAGCGGUGAAAUGCGUAGAUAUCAGGAGGAACACCGGUGGCGAAGGCGGCCUUCUGGACGGAUACUGACGCUGAGACGCGAAAGCGUGGGGAGCAAACAGGAUUAGAUACCCUGGUAGUCCACGCCGUAAACGAUGGGCACUAGGUGUUCGGGGUAUUGACCCCCUGAGUGCCGCAGCUAACGCAUUAAGUGCCCCGCCUGGGGACUACAGCCGCAAGGUUAAA
This 332-nucleotide ribosomal RNA is filed under the name uncultured bacterium. Its description in RNAcentral is "bacterial SSU rRNA". It matches the Rfam family "Bacterial small subunit ribosomal RNA", at positions 568 to 898 of the family's 1533-position model. The record is from RNAcentral.